Molecule: ribosomal RNA, 515 nt
Filed under: uncultured bacterium
Lineage: Bacteria
Description: partial 16S ribosomal RNA
Rfam family: Bacterial small subunit ribosomal RNA
Source: RNAcentral
GAUGAACGCUGGCGGCGUGCCUAAUACAUGCAAGUCGAGCGAAUGGAUUAAGAGCUUGCUCUUAUGAAGUUAGCGGCGGACGGGUGAGUAACACGUGGGUAACCUGCCCAUAAGACUGGGAUAACUCCGGGAAACCGGGGCUAAUACCGGAUAACAUUUUGAACCGCAUGGUUCGAAAUUGAAAGGCGGCUUCGGCUGUCACUUAUGGAUGGACCCGCGUCGCAUUAGCUAGUUGGUGAGGUAACGGCUCACCAAGGCCACGAUGCGUAGCCGACCUGAGAGGGUGAUCGGCCACACUGGGACUGAGACACGGCCCGGACUCCUGCGGGAGGCAGCAGUAGGGAAUCUUCCGCAAUGGACGAAAGUCUGACGGAGCAACGCCGCGUGAGUGAUGAAGGCUUUCGGGUCGUAAAACUCUGUUGUUAGGGAAGAACAAGUGCUAGUUGAAUAAGCUGGCACCUUGACGGUACCUAACCAGAGAGCCACGGCUAACUACGUGCCAGCCGCCGCCGUAA